Ribosomal RNA from Mustela putorius furo (domestic ferret), 136 nucleotides. NCBI's taxonomy places the organism in Eukaryota, Metazoa, Chordata, Mammalia, Carnivora, Mustelidae. The record is from Ensembl.
GUCUACAGCCAUACCACCCUGAACAUGCCCAAUCUCAUCUAAUCUCGGAAGCUAAGCUGGGUUGGGCCUGGUUAGUACUUGGAUGGGAGGAUUAUGAUGGUUACCUUCUAAACAGAAAGCAUUCUCCAGGUAGACC